AAUCAUACUAGGAAAAUUUUUUUGUUGCUUAUUUUUUAACAUACAGCACUGUCUGGAAGAUUAAGGCAAAUUGUUGAAAUUUAUAUCCAUGAAUUGUGUUGAAAUUUAAAAAAAUGCCUAAAAAAUAUGAGUAAAGGAAGCCAUCAUUUAAAAUCCAUUUACCAAAAUUGUCAUCCAUUUACCUUGUGUUAAGUUUCCACUUAAUCCUGCUUGCCUGAAUUGGUGUGCAGUGAAACAUUCUGAUGGUGUGUGUAUGAUAAGCUAGUGCUUGCCUGUUAACAUAUACCAUCUAAAGCCAUAUCUUGAGCUUCAGUCUAAUCUUAUUCAUAUAACAAGGUUUCUCAUCAGCUGUCAAAUUUAUGAUAAAGAAAGUGUUGAUUAAAGGCACACCCAAAAUCAGCUGGCUAGUAUUAGCAAUCCUGGUGACAUGUAUUUUGAAAUGCAAUGUAUUUAAGAGUGUGGAAGAGUUUGAAAUUGGGUUUUUAGAACAUCAUGGUUUGGACAGGAAUGGUAAUGAUCAGCACAAUUGUAUUUACAGGAAAUAUGAUCUUAGCACCUAGUGCUCCUGGCAGAUCUUGAUGGUGUUCUAAGAAUAAACUUUUUCUUAGUCUCCAUUGCAAUACUUUUUUGUAAUUCAACUUCUUAAUUCCAGAUUCCAAGAAAGUCUAAAUUGGCCGUUCACAGAAAUAUCCGAGAUGAUGAAGGCUUCAUUAUCCGACACUUUGCAGGAGCAGUGUGCUAUGAGACGAUGCAAUUUGUGGAAAAAAACAAUGAUGCUUUGCACAUGUCUCUUCAAUCUCUUAUAUGUGAAUCCAAGGACAAAUUUGUUCGACAGUUGUUUGAAGCCAACACUAACAACAACAAGGAUCCCAAACAAAAAGCUGGAAAACUCAGUUUCAUCAGUGUGGGUAACAAAUUCAAGGUAAAAUCAUAGAGUAAAGAGUCCUAUCUUGUAAUAUAUGCCAGUUUUAUGUUACUUGAAUUAAAUAGAACCUAAGGUUGGGAGAACUAGCAGUAAUUUGAGAUUCAGAAGAAAAUUUGGUUGAAGAGAUGGUUUUCUUCUGUUGAAUUAUAAGAAACUGGCAUUUUAAGCUACAUGCUAUGCAUUUCUGUCAAAAGUAUCUUCCAUAAUAGUCCUUACAGAGGUUAUACAGUGAUUUUUAGGUCAGAAUCUUUCAAAGUCACUUAGAAGUCUUUAUUCAACAGGUUUUGAGAUGUAAAUUUGGAUUCGGUGGACUUUAAAAUUUUCUAGAUGGGACAGAAUAUGUUCUUCCAUCCUAUUGUAAUUAUACCUUCUAGAAGAUGUAUUGAUUCCCUACAGUUGGCCAAACUUUCAAAAUUCAGUACCUAAUUUAACCAUAGUUUUUCCUUUUCUGAAAUAUAUACUUAGUCAUGGCUUAUACAGGAAGAUAUUCAUUGUGCUGAAUGUUUCCCUUCCCA
RNAcentral lists this long non-coding RNA (1440 nucleotides) under Junco hyemalis (dark-eyed junco). RNAcentral describes it as "lncRNA (ENSJHYG00000008559.1)". Lineage: Eukaryota; Metazoa; Chordata; Aves; Passeriformes; Passerellidae. The record is from RNAcentral.